CCCUUAGAUGUUCUGGGCCGCACGCGUGCUACACUGAGUGGAUCAGCGGGUCAGGUUGCGCGAAAGUGUUUCCUAAUCUUGAAAUCCGCUCGUGAUGGGGAUUGACGGUUGCAAUUUUCCGUCAUGAACGAGGAAUACCUUGUAAGCGCGGGUCAUCAUCCCGCGCUGAAUACGUCCCUGCCCUUUGUACACACCGCCCGUCGCUCCUACCGAUUGAGUGGUCUGGUGAGGCUUUGGGAUCUGAGCAAAGAGAGCGUUUCGCUCGUUUUGCCCGGAAAACUCAGUCGAACCUUAUCAUUUAGAGGAAGGAGAAGUCGUAACA
RNAcentral lists this ribosomal RNA (322 nucleotides) under uncultured eukaryote. RNAcentral's name for it is "partial 18S ribosomal RNA". It matches the Rfam family "Eukaryotic small subunit ribosomal RNA", at positions 1470 to 1796 of the family's 1831-position model. The record is from RNAcentral.